CAAUAGCGUAUAUUAAAGUUGUUGCAGUUAGAACGCUCGUAGUCGGAUUUCGGGGCGGGCCGACCGGUCUGCCGAUGGGUACGCACUGGUCGGCGCGUCCUUCCUUCCGGAGACCGUUCCUACUCUUAACUGAGCGGGGGCGGGAGACGGAUCGUUUACUUUGAAAAAAUCAGAGUGUUUCAAGCAGGCAGCUCGCUCUUGCAUGGAUUAGCAUGGGAUAAUGAAAUAGGACUUUGGUGCUAUUUUGUUGGUUUCGAACACCGAAGUAAUGAUUAAAAGGGACAGUCAGGGGCACUCGUAUUCCGCCGAGAGGGGUGAAAUUCUCAGACCAGCGGAAGACGAACUACUGCGAAAGCAUUUGCCAGGGAUGUUUUCACUAA
RNAcentral lists this ribosomal RNA (380 nucleotides) under uncultured eukaryote. Its description in RNAcentral is "partial 18S ribosomal RNA". It matches the Rfam family "Eukaryotic small subunit ribosomal RNA", at positions 592 to 976 of the family's 1831-position model. The record is from RNAcentral.